UACGUAGGGUGCGAGCGUUGUCCGGAAUUACUGGGCGUAAAGAGCUCGUAGGUGGUUUGUCGCGUUGUUCGUGAAAACUCACAGCUUAACUGUGGGCGUGCGGGCGAUACGGGCAGACUGGAGUACUGCAGGGGAGACUGGAAUUCCUGGUGUAGCGGUGGAAUGCGCAGAUAUCAGGAGGAACACCGGUGGCGAAGGCGGGUCUCUGGGCAGUAACUGACGCUGAGAAGCGAAAGCGUGGGGAGCGAACAGG
This 253-nucleotide ribosomal RNA is filed under the name uncultured bacterium. RNAcentral describes it as "partial 16S ribosomal RNA". It matches the Rfam family "Bacterial small subunit ribosomal RNA", at positions 524 to 776 of the family's 1533-position model. The record is from RNAcentral.